RNAcentral lists this long non-coding RNA (360 nucleotides) under Spirodela polyrhiza (greater duckweed). RNAcentral's name for it is "long non-coding RNA (SPOL_LNC002599)". The record is from RNAcentral. Lineage: Eukaryota; Viridiplantae; Streptophyta; Magnoliopsida; Alismatales; Araceae.
UCCUGGUCUACGAAUUCCUGCCGAACGGGAGCCUCGAUCGCUUCGUAUUUGGUAACUCCGAGCUUGCAAACACAUCUCGAUCCCUGUAAGUUCUCCUCUCCUGAUCUGGAAAUGUGUUCCUUCCCUGAGAACCAGGUGAAGCGCGCGGUGUCCAGAGCUUGGCGUGGAGAGAUCGGCUGAGGAUUGUGGUGGGGGUGGCCGAGGGCCUGGCGUACCUCCACGGAGGGUCGGAGACGAGGGCGAUCCACAGGGAUAUCAAGUGCAGCAACGUUCUUCUGGACGAGAAGAUGAACGCCAGAAUAGCCGACUUCGGGCUCGCCCGCCUCUUCCCCGUCGACCGGACCCAUCUCACCGCCUCCC